This 720-nucleotide ribosomal RNA is filed under the name uncultured bacterium. Its description in RNAcentral is "bacterial SSU rRNA". It matches the Rfam family "Bacterial small subunit ribosomal RNA", at positions 728 to 1447 of the family's 1533-position model. The record is from RNAcentral.
UNUGGUCUGUCACUGACGCUGAGGCUNGAAAGCGUGGGUAGCGAACAGGAUUAGAUACCCUGGUAGUNCACGCCGUAAACGAUGAGUGCUAGGUGUUAGGCCCUUUCCGGGGCUUAGUGCCGGAGCUAACGCAAUAAGCACUCCGCCUGGGGAGUACGACCGCAAGGUUGAAACUCAAAGGAAUUGACGGGGGCCCGCACAAGCGGUGGAGCAUGUGGUUUAAUUCGAAGCAACGCGAAGAACCUUACCAGGUCUUGACAUCCCGAUGCUAUUCUUAGAGAUAGGAAGUUACUUCGGUACAUCGGAGACAGGUGGUGCAUGGUUGUCGUCAGCUCGUGUCGUGAGAUGUUGGGUUAAGUCCCGCAACGAGCGCAACCCUUAUUGUUAGUUGCCAUCAUUAAGUUGGGCACUCUAGCGAGACUGCCGGUAAUAAACCGGAGGAAGGUGGGGAUGACGUCAAAUCAUCAUGCCCCUUAUGACCUGGGCUACACACGUGCUACAAUGGUCGGUACAACGAGUUGCGAGCCGGUGACGGCAAGCUAAUCUCUGAAAGCCGAUCUCAGUUCGGAUUGGAGGCUGCAACUCGCCUCCAUGAAGUCGGAAUCGCUAGUAAUCGCGGAUCAGCACGCCGCGGUGAAUACGUUCCCGGGCCUUGUACACACCGCCCGUCACACCACGAGAGUUUGUAACACCCGAAGUCGGUGAGGUANCCUUUUAGGG